GACUCUCGGCAACGGAUAUCUCGGCUCUCGCAUCGAUGAAGAACGUAGCGAAAUGCGAUACUUGGUGUGAAUUGCAGAAUCCCGUGAACCAUCGAGUCUUUGAACGCAAGUUGCGCCGAAGCGUUAGGCCGAGGCACGUCUGCCUGGGCGUCA
Molecule: ribosomal RNA, 153 nt
Filed under: Ipomoea nil (Japanese morning glory)
Lineage: Eukaryota; Viridiplantae; Streptophyta; Magnoliopsida; Solanales; Convolvulaceae
Description: 5.8S ribosomal RNA
Rfam family: 5.8S ribosomal RNA
About the family: 5.8S ribosomal RNA (5.8S rRNA) is a component of the large subunit of the eukaryotic ribosome. It is transcribed by RNA polymerase I as part of the 45S precursor that also contains 18S and 28S rRNA. Functionally, it is thought that 5.8S rRNA may be involved in ribosome translocation.
Source: Rfam by way of RNAcentral